RNAcentral lists this ribosomal RNA (465 nucleotides) under Vreelandella stevensii. Its description in RNAcentral is "partial 16S ribosomal RNA". It matches the Rfam family "Bacterial small subunit ribosomal RNA", at positions 338 to 795 of the family's 1533-position model. Lineage: Bacteria; Pseudomonadati; Pseudomonadota; Gammaproteobacteria; Oceanospirillales; Halomonadaceae. The record is from RNAcentral.
CCUACGGGAGGCAGCAGUGGGGAAUAUUGGACAAUGGGGGCAACCCUGAUCCAGCCAUGCCGCGUGUGUGAAGAAGGCCCUCGGGUUGUAAAGCACUUUCAGUGAGGAAGAACGCCUGGUGGUUAAUACCCAUCAGGAAAGACAUCACUCACAGAAGAAGCACCGGCUAACUCCGUGCCAGCAGCCGCGGUAAUACGGAGGGUGCGAGCGUUAAUCGGAAUUACUGGGCGUAAAGCGCGCGUAGGUGGCUUGAUAAGCCGGUUGUGAAAGCCCCGGGCUCAACCUGGGAACGGCAUCCGGAACUGUCAAGCUAGAGUGCAGGAGAGGAAGGUAGAAUUCCCGGUGUAGCGGUGAAAUGCGUAGAGAUCGGGAGGAAUACCUGUGGCGAAGGCGGCCUUCUGGACUGACACUGACACUGAGGUGCGAAAGCGUGGGUAGCAAACAGGAUUAGAUACCCUGGUAGUC